CCUACGGGAGGCAGCAGUGGGGAAUAUUGGACAAUGGGCGCAAGCCUGAUCCAGCCAUACCGCGUGUGUGAAGAAGGCCUUCGGGUUGUAAAGCACUUUAAGCAGGGAGAAAAAGUUAUAAGUUAAUACCUUAUAGCCGUGAUGUUACCUGCAGAAUAAGCACCGGCUAAUUCCGUGCCAGCAGCCGCGGUAAUACGGAAGGUGCAAGCGUUAAUCGGAAUUACUGGGCGUAAAGCGCGCGUAGGUGGUUUGUUAAGUUGGAUGUGAAAGCCCUGGGCUCAACCUAGGAACUGCAUCCAAAACUAACUCACUAGAGUACGAUAGAGGGAGGUAGAAUUCACAGUGUAGCGGUGGAAUGCGUAGAUAUUAUGAAGAAUACCAGUGGCGAAGGCGGCCUCCUGGAUCUGUACUGACACUGAGGUGCGAAAGCGUGGGUAGCGAACAGGAUUAGAUACCCUGGUAGUCCACGCCGUAAACGAUGACAACUAGCUGUUGGAAGACAAUGUCUUUCAGUGGCGCAGCUAACGUUUUAAGUUGUCCGCCUGGGGAGUACGGCCGCAAGGCUAAAACUCAAAUGAAUGACGG
RNAcentral lists this ribosomal RNA (585 nucleotides) under uncultured bacterium. Its description in RNAcentral is "bacterial SSU rRNA". It matches the Rfam family "Bacterial small subunit ribosomal RNA", at positions 338 to 916 of the family's 1533-position model. The record is from RNAcentral.